GGGUGGUUAGCUCAGUUGGUAGAGCAACGGACUCUUAAUCCGUGGGUCUAGGGUUCGAGCCCCUAACCACCCA
Molecule: transfer RNA, 73 nt
Filed under: Dellaglioa algida
Lineage: Bacteria; Bacillati; Bacillota; Bacilli; Lactobacillales; Lactobacillaceae
Also listed under: 22 other names
Description: Lactobacillus algidus tRNA-Lys
Rfam family: tRNA
About the family: Transfer RNA (tRNA) molecules are approximately 80 nucleotides in length. Their secondary structure includes four short double-helical elements and three loops (D, anti-codon, and T loops).
Source: RNAcentral